This 564-nucleotide long non-coding RNA is filed under the name Lathyrus oleraceus (garden pea). RNAcentral's name for it is "Pisum sativum (pea) long non-coding RNA (PSAT_LNC037604)". The record is from RNAcentral. Lineage: Eukaryota; Viridiplantae; Streptophyta; Magnoliopsida; Fabales; Fabaceae.
UCUCAAUCCAAUCACCCUCUCAAUAGAACAACCUAACUGAAUUCAUCUUCAUCUUUCUCAACCAUUUUCCAACGACCUGUAACAAACAGAAGCAUCAGAAGAAAAGAGGAAUCAGAAUAGUGAGAAGAAGAGAGCAAAAAUUGACAAAAGCACAUAACAGCACAAAGAAAUUCCAGAAGCAUCAAAUAGCAAAAAAAAAACGGAAUUGAACAAGAAGCUAAAAAUAAUUUUCAAAUAGAUUCAGUGUUUCAUUCUUCAUCAUUCAACCAUGCACCAACAUCGCUCGACCACAGCAGCGAAGAACAAAUCAACGCACAACAAUAACAUCCAAUGAAAAGCGGACACACAAGGAAAAGAGAACAUUGAAACCUGAAACUUUGAAUUGGUAAAUUCAAUAAUUUCAUAGUCGAUCUCGCCUUCUUUGAUUUGUGCAAGCACGAAGAUGUAUUGAACUUUGAUUAGUUAUGGUAGAAUUCCUGAGCUGGAUUUUGAGAUUCGCUUACUGAGCAUGGACGGACGCCAUGAACCUGGUGCGUCACCGGACAUUGAGUUCUUCGCAUUUCG